GGUAAACAUUUAGAUAAAGUUCUUUAAUAUGCAAUAUAUUUUACUGGAAGUUUGGAUGUUGGAUUUAUGAGUCGCUGGAUUUAAAUAGUUGCUAGUUAUUGUGGUUUGCUGGUAAUACUUGUUUGGUUGACAGAAGGAAAAAGCUGGACAAAUUCCAAAGAAGGGGAAGGGCAAGGAAAAAACUGGCCAGACCUCAAAUGGAACUCAACAAUCUGGCCAGAGCUCAAGAAGCAACUGUUAUGAACUUGAAUUUGGUACACAACAAUCUCAACAAUCGGGCUUUGAAACUCAAAUUGGUACUCAACUAUCAAUAGCAUAUGGACCUGAUAUUGGCGAUGACGAAGACCCGACAUUGAGGCCAAAAGUCAUAUCGGAAGCUGAUACAUUGCUGGCCAUGAGGAAGACAAGAAUGAGGCCACCAACUGGUGGUAGAAGGAUUCAAUUCACUGGAGAUCCAAGCGGAGUGUCAACUCCAACCAACUUGCCUUAUUCACCGACAAAGACAACUUGGAGGGGAAAUGAAGCUGUUACAUGCACCCAGUUACAAGGUGAAGUCGGGAAAAAGCGUAUCAAGAUGAAGGCAAGAAAGGGGCAAGGAGAACCAGCCCCUGAUGACUGUGACAUUUGAAUGUUGUUUAUUUUGUGAUGCUUAAACAUUUCAAACAUCCUAGCAUUUAAAGGUUAAAGUGGUUAACAGUUGGCUUUUGUUAUUCUAGUUAGUUUAACCUUUAAAGUUAGCAUUCAAAUGUUAAGUAUGUUAUUAGUAAAGUUAAGUAUUUUGUGAAUGACAGGGAAUUAUAUUAAGUAUGUUUUUAGUGAAGCUUUGUGUUAUGGAAUCAUGUUAAGUAUGUUGUUAAUGAAGCCUUGUCUUGUUAA
This is a long non-coding RNA of Lycium ferocissimum, 876 nucleotides long. RefSeq lists it as uncharacterized. Lineage: Eukaryota; Viridiplantae; Streptophyta; Magnoliopsida; Solanales; Solanaceae. The record is from RefSeq and is a predicted model, not a curated record. The transcript is spliced from 2 exons.